RNAcentral lists this ribosomal RNA (119 nucleotides) under Peromyscus maniculatus bairdii (prairie deer mouse). The record is from RNAcentral. Lineage: Eukaryota; Metazoa; Chordata; Mammalia; Rodentia; Cricetidae.
GUCUAUGGCUGUACUACCCUGAACGCGUUGGAUCUUGUCUGAUCUUGGAAGCUAAGCAGGGUCAGGUCUGGUUAGUUCUUGGCUGUGAGAGUGCCUGAGAAUAUGGGGUACUGUCGACU